GAUGAAGAACGUAGUGAAAUGCGAUAAGUAAUGCGAAUUGCAGAAUUCAGUGAAUCAUCGAAUCUUUGAACGCACAUUGCGCCCGCCAGUACUCUGGCGGGCAUGCCUGUCUGAGCGUCAUUUCAACCCUCGCGCCCGGCUUCUGUCGGGGGCGGUGUUGGGGAUCGGCCUCCCGUCUUCCGGGCGGCCGGCCCCUAAAUGGAGUGGCGACCGCGCCGUAGCCUCCUCUGCGUAGUAGUGAAACACUCGCGGGCGGAGAGCGGUGCGGCCCGCCGUAAAACCCCCAACUCUUCUAAGGUUGACCUCAGAUCAGGUAGGAAUACCCGCUGAACUUAAGCAUAUCAAUAAGCGGAGGA
RNAcentral lists this unclassified non-coding RNA (356 nucleotides) under soil metagenome. RNAcentral's name for it is "partial contains 5.8S ribosomal RNA, internal transcribed spacer 2, and large subunit ribosomal RNA". The stretch from base 1 to 120 matches the Rfam family "5.8S ribosomal RNA", at positions 35 to 154 of the family's 154-position model. The record is from RNAcentral.